RNAcentral lists this ribosomal RNA (508 nucleotides) under uncultured bacterium. RNAcentral describes it as "partial 16S ribosomal RNA". It matches the Rfam family "Bacterial small subunit ribosomal RNA", at positions 29 to 523 of the family's 1533-position model. The record is from RNAcentral.
AUUGAACGCUGGCGGCAGGCCUAACACAUGCAAGUCGAGCGGCAGCGGGAAAGUAGCUUGCUACUUUUGCCGGCGAGCGGCGGACGGGUGAGUAAUGCCUGGGGAUCUGCCCAGUCGAGGGGGAUAACAGUUGGAAACGACUGCUAAUACCGCAUACGCCCUACGGGGGAAAGGAGGGGACCUUCGGGCCUUUCGCGAUUGGAUGAACCCGGGUGGGAUUAGCUAGUUGGUGGGGUAAUGGCUCACCAAGGCGACGAUCCCUAGCUGGUCUGAGAGGAUGAUCAGCCACACUGGAACUGAGACACGGUCCAGACUCCUACGGGAGGCAGCAGUGGGGAAUAUUGCACAAUGGGGGAAACCCUGAUGCAGCCAUGCCGCGUGUGUGAAGAAGGCCUUCGGGUUGUAAAGCACUUUCAGCGAGGAGGAAAGGUUGGCGCCUAAUACGUGUCUACUGUGACGUUACUCGCAGAAGAAGCACCGGCUAACUCCGUGCCAGCCGCCGCGGUAA